Molecule: non-coding RNA, 2592 nt
Organism: Equus caballus (horse)
Lineage: Eukaryota; Metazoa; Chordata; Mammalia; Perissodactyla; Equidae
Source: RefSeq, a predicted model, not a curated record
AGUCACUGUCCCUGCGGUGAGAACUGGUGGCUGGAUCGGAGCCUCCAGCUGAAGGGAACCUGAUUACAUCUAGAUUGACCCCUAUUGUGUGACAGCUAAUGACCCAGUUAACCUCUGGCAAAUGCUCUGACAAAAAUGAACUAGAAGCCACAAUAAAGUCGUCAGAUGCUUGAACUUGGACAUCAAAUCCCAUUGAAUGAAGCGACAGAUGCAGACCUGCGACCACUGUGCUGUUUGGGAGCCGUUCAGAUGCCACGAGAGGCGUCGUCAUUGGUAACGCGUUUUAAAACUGGUGAACGACCCUCAUGAAGUCGUGAACAAAACAAAGCACCACCUCAAUUUACACCAUGGUUUCCUUCCUGAAAAACUCGGGAUAUUUUAAAACAGUGGGAAAAAAAUAUUUUUGUGUCUGUGUAAAAUGGAAUUUGGUUCUGGCUCAGGUCAUUUGAAGCAGCUUUUUCAUCUAUGUGAACAUCCAGAGGGGCAUUCAACAUUAGUGCCAGUGCCUGAAGAUCAAGUAGAGUGGUGGGCUGUGGAGGGCGAGCCCAGAAUCAGUCCCUGAGGCGGGUGUCGGUGUCCCGUUUCCAGACGGCGAAAUGAAGCCAGAGAGAGGAAGAAGUUCACCGAGGUCCCACAGCCGGAGAGGGACGAGGGGGGGCUUCAACGGGAUGCUAUUGGGAGGGAGGCCUGAAUCUAACUGCAGUGUGAUUUCCGGCCUUUUGGGUCACACCCCUGGGCAGACUCUGCAGCAGCCCAGCAAACCUUGCAGUCCCCAGCACGAGAAGGGUGGAUUCCAUCUCUGACUUUCCCCUGAAACUGAAGAGGAGGAACACCCUGAUCACCCAGCUGUUAGUAGACUGCCUGGACCCCCGGUCCUGACUUCGUGCGCCAGCCGCUUUGAGUCCGGCUGAUAAAGGCUCACGGGUGUCCCCUCCCCGAAGUACAGCCCUAGGCCAAAGGGGAGCUUCCUUGCCCAGGAGGUUAUAACCCUCAUGCACAUCCUAGCCAGAGAGAGUGACAGAGAGAGAAAAACGCCAGCCCCCUUGCCUCAAGUUGGGAUCAACUCCGGGAUACAGUUCAUGCUCUGGGGCUCUCCAUAUGGGAUCUCUCCCACAUGGGAUCAGGCUGAAAUUACUCUCCUUCCUUGCUUAGCUUUCUUCCCUUACCCUGUUCUGUACCUUCACUCCCUUUUCUUAGGAGCAUCUCCUCAAUAGAUCACGUGCAAAAGGUCUCCGUCAUAGGCUCUGCUUCUAGAGCACUGACCUAAUGUCGGGUCAAGAUGGAAACCAAAAGACCACUUAGGAGACAACGGCAAUAAUCAGGGUAUCCCAUCCAAAUGGCAGAUCGAAAGAUCACUUACUGGGAAGUCAAAGAACAUGGAUUCCAGUCUUGUGUCUACAACGAGCUCUCUGGAUAACGUUGAAUGAGUCCCAUCCCGUCCCCGGGCCUCAGUUUCCUCAUCUGUCACGUAAGCAGCUAUACCGGAUGUUCCUUAAGAUCCUUCCCAUUGUGAAAUUUCUAAGAUUAAGUGAGAGAGAGAGAGAGAGAGAGAUGCGGCAGUAUUCUCUCAACUCCGAAGUGCUUAGUGAUGAUAAUGGGUUCUUCCUGUGAUGAUGAUGUCAGCCUGACACCUCCCGUUCUUACAGGGCCCCCCCAGCACCCAAAUCAUCAGCGCUUCCUGAGAGCUCCAUCUCCUAAGUAGAUUCUGAAUCCACUCACUUCUCUCUUCUCUCCUCCUCCCCACCUUUAUCCAAGCCACCAGAAGAAACCAUGUGGUUUGUGCUGAGCAUCUGCUUUCCUUCUGCGUGUCUGGAAUCUUGGCUGAGCAGAGGACACCUACAUGACCAGCCCCCAGCAAAUGCCAUGGGCUCUGAGUCUCUAAGGAGCUUCCCUGGUAGACAACACUUCCCACCUGUUGGGUCUCCCUGCGCCCUGCACCCCACAGCUCAAGCUGCGCUUCCACACUACAGGUCAGAUCAUGACACUCCUUUGCUUAAAUUUCUCCAAUGAUUUCCCAUCAAAUAAAAUCCAAACUCCUUACUGUGGCCCACGAGGCAUGAUCUGGUCUAUUAACGCUCCUUUAAGAGGCCAAGUCCUUGCUCAGGGUCAUUGUUCUCACUACUUCCCACUCCCUUGCUCCAGAAACGUGCUCCCCAGCACUUAGCCUGGCUGGCUGCUUCUCAUUUUAGGAAUGAAAAGAGUACCUCCCCGGGGAACCCUUCCCUGACCACGCCGAUAAAGCAGCCUUCCAUGGUCAUCACUUCCUACCUCAUCGUCUUAUUUUCUUCUCUUCAUAGCACUUACCAUACAAUCUGAAAACAUCUUAUUUGCUCACGUGUUCGUUAUCUCUCGCUGUCUCCCCAACCAGAAUGGAAGCUCCAUGAGGACAGGAACCUUGUCUGUCUUGUUCAGAACUUUACUCCCAGCAGCUAGCACAGUGUCUGGUAUAGUCAGUGCUUAACAGAUAUUUGCUGAAUGACUAAAUAAGAGAAAGUGCGCUCAGUCGUAGACAGGCUGCCCUUGUUCGCCUGGUUCCUGUUUCCAGGUGCACAGUUGAAUCCAGAGCCCACGCAUCUCGUUUACCGUCUGCUU